This 923-nucleotide ribosomal RNA is filed under the name Hevansia novoguineensis. RNAcentral's name for it is "SSU rRNA". It matches the Rfam family "Eukaryotic small subunit ribosomal RNA", at positions 74 to 1019 of the family's 1831-position model. Lineage: Eukaryota; Fungi; Ascomycota; Sordariomycetes; Hypocreales; Cordycipitaceae. The record is from RNAcentral.
UUAUACAGCGAAACUGCGAAUGGCUCAUUAUAUAAGUUAUCGUUUAUUUGAUAGUGCCUUACUACUUGGAUAACCGUGGUAAUUCUAGAGCUAAUACAUGCUGAAAAUCCCGACUUCGGAAGGGAUGUGUUUAUUAGAUUAAAAACCAAUGCCCUCUGGGCUCCUUGGUGAUUCAUGAUAACUGUUCGAAUCGCAUGGCCUUGCGCCGGCGAUGGUUCAUUCAAAUUUCUUCCCUAUCAACUUUCGAUGUUUGGGUAUUGGCCAAACAUGGUCGCAACGGGUAACGGAGGGUUAGGGCUCGACCCCGGAGAAGGAGCCUGAGAAACGGCUACUACAUCCAAGGAAGGCAGCAGGCGCGCAAAUUACCCAAUCCCGAUCCGGGGAGGUAGUGACAAUAAAUACUGAUACAGGGCUCUUUUGGGUCUUGUAAUUGGAAUGAGUACAAUUUAAAUCCCUUAACGAGGAACAAUUGGAGGGCAAGUCUGGUGCCAGCAGCCGCGGUAAUUCCAGCUCCAAUAGCGUAUAUUAAAGUUGUUGUGGUUAAAAAGCUCGUAGUUGAACCUUGGGCCUGGCUGGCCGGUCCGCCUCACCGCGUGCACUGGUCCGGCCGGGCCUUUCCCUCUGCGGAACCCCAUGCCCUUCACUGGGUGUGGCGGGGAAGCAGGACUUCUACUUUGAAAAAAUUAAAGUGCUUCAGCAGGCCUAUGCUCGAAUACAUUAGCAUGGAAUAAUGAAAUAAGACGCGCGGUUCUAUUUUGUUGAUUUCUGGGACCGCCGUAAUGGUUAAUAGGGACAGUCCGCGGCAUCCGUAAUUCAAUCUUAGAGGGAAAUUCCUGGAUCGAUUGAAGACAACUACUGCGAACAUUUGCCAGGAUGUUUUCUUAAUCAGAACGAAAGUAGGGAUCGAAACAAUCAAUACCGUC